RNAcentral lists this ribosomal RNA (454 nucleotides) under Didymella glomerata. RNAcentral describes it as "eukaryotic LSU rRNA". The stretch from base 127 to 280 matches the Rfam family "5.8S ribosomal RNA". Lineage: Eukaryota; Fungi; Ascomycota; Dothideomycetes; Pleosporales; Didymellaceae. The record is from RNAcentral.
GCUUUGCCUGCUAUCUCUUACCCAUGUCUUUUGAGUACCUUCGUUUCCUCGGCGGGUCCGCCCGCCGAUUGGACAAUUUAAACCAUUUGCAGUUGCAAUCAGCGUCUGAAAAAACUUAAUAGUUACAACUUUCAACAACGGAUCUCUUGGUUCUGGCAUCGAUGAAGAACGCAGCGAAAUGCGAUAAGUAGUGUGAAUUGCAGAAUUCAGUGAAUCAUCGAAUCUUUGAACGCACAUUGCGCCCCUUGGUAUUCCAUGGGGCAUGCCUGUUCGAGCGUCAUUUGUACCUUCAAGCUCUGCUUGGUGUUGGGUGUUUGUCUCGCCUCUGCGCGUAGACUCGCCUCAAAACAAUUGGCAGCCGGCGUAUUGAUUUCGGAGCGCAGUACAUCUCGCGCUUUGCACUCAUAACGACGACGUCCAAAAGUACAUUUUUACACUCUUGACCUCGGAUCAG